CGACCGCUGGCGGUGUGCUUACCACAUGCACGUCGAACGGUAAGGCCCUUUCGGGGGUCCACGAGUGGCGAACGGGUGAGUAACACGUGAGUAACCUGCCCUCAUCUCUGGGAUAACAGUCGGAAACGGUUGCUAAUACUGGAUAUGAGCUUGCAAGGCAUCUUGUGGGUUGGAAAGAUUUUUUUUGGUUGGGGAUGGACUCGCGGCCUAUCAGCUUGUUGGUGAGGUAGUGGCUCACCAAGGCUUCGACGGGUAGCCGGCCUGAGAGGGCGACCGGCCACAUUGGGACUGAGAUACGGCCCAAACUCCUACGGGAGGCAGCAGUGGGGAAUAUUGCACAAUGGACGGAAGUCUGAUGCAGCAACGCCGCGUGCGGGAUGACGGCCUUCGGGUUGUAAACCGCUUUCAAUUGUGACGAAGCUUUUUUGUGACGGUAGCAGUAGAAGAAGCACCGGCUAACUACGUG
This 466-nucleotide ribosomal RNA is filed under the name uncultured bacterium. Its description in RNAcentral is "partial 16S ribosomal RNA". It matches the Rfam family "Bacterial small subunit ribosomal RNA", at positions 30 to 507 of the family's 1533-position model. The record is from RNAcentral.